CCUACGGGAGGCAGCAGUGAGGAAUAUUGCGCAAUGGGCGAAAGCCUGACGCAGCGACGCCGCGUGAGGGAUGAAGGUCUUCGGAUCGUAAACCUCUGUCAGCAGGGAAGAACGGUCACUGUGCUAAUCAGCGGUGAAUUGACGGUACCUGCAAGGGAAGCACCGGCUAACUCCGUGCCAGCAGCCGCGGUAAUACGGAGGGGGCGAGCGUUAAUCGGAAUUACUGGGAGUAAAGCGCUCGUAGGCGGUAUGUCAAGUCAAGGGUGAAAUCCCCGCGCUCAACGUGGGAACUGCCUUUGAAACUGGCAAACUGGAGUGUGUGAGAGGAUAGUGGAAUGCCAGGUGUAGGAGUGAAAUCCGUAGAUAUCUGGAGGAACAUCAGUGGCGAAGGCGACUAUCUGGCACAUAACUGACGCUGAGGAGCGAAAGCGUGGGUAGCAAACAGGAUUAGAUACCCUAGUAGUC
RNAcentral lists this ribosomal RNA (465 nucleotides) under uncultured bacterium. Its description in RNAcentral is "partial 16S ribosomal RNA". It matches the Rfam family "Bacterial small subunit ribosomal RNA", at positions 338 to 795 of the family's 1533-position model. The record is from RNAcentral.